UGCUGGAGGUAUCAGAAGUGCGAAUGCUGACAUAAGUAACGAUAAAGCGGGUGAAAAGCCCGCUCGCCGGAAGACCAAGGGUUCCUGUCCAACGUUAAUCGGGGCAGGGUGAGUCGACCCCUAAGGCGAGGCCGAAAGGCGUAGUCGAUGGGAAACGGGUUAAUAUUCCCGUACUUGGUGUUACUGCGAAGGGGGGACGGAGAAGGCUAUGUUGGCCGGGCGACGGUUGUCCCGGUUUAAGCGUGUAGGUGUGUGUUCCAGGUAAAUCCGGUUCACUUUAACACUGAGGCGUGAUGACGAGGCACUACGGUGCUGAAGUAACAAAUGCCCUGCUUCCAGGAAAAGCCUCUAAGCAUCAGGUAACAUCAAAUCGUACCCCAAACCGACACAGGUGGUCAGGUAGAGAAUACCAAGGCGCUUGAGAGAACUCGGGUGAAGGAACUAGGCAAAAUGGUGCCGUAACUUCGGGAGAAGGCACGCUGACACGUAGGUGAAGUGAUUUACUCAUGGAGCUGAAGUCAGUCGAAGAUACCAGCUGGCUGCAACUGUUUAUUAAAAACACAGCACUGUGCAAACACGAAAGUGGACGUAUACGGUGUGACGCCUGCCCGGUGCCGGAAGGUUAAUUGAUGGGGUCAGCGCAAGCGAAGCUCCUGAUCGAAGCCCCGGUAAACGGCGGCCGUAACUAUAACGGUCCUAAGGUAGCGAAAUUCCUUGUCGGGUAAGUUCCGACCUGCACGAAUGGCGUAAUGAUGGCCAGGCUGUCUCCACCCGAGACUCAGUGAAAUUGAACUCGCUGUGAAGAUGCAGUGUACCCGCGGCAAGACGGAAAGACCCCGUGAACCUUUACUAUAGCUUGACACUGAACAUUGAGCCUUGAUGUGUAGGAUAGGUGGGAGGCUUUGAAGUGUGGACGCCAGUCUGCAUGGAGCCGACCUUGAAAUACCACCCUUUAAUGUUUGAUGUUCUAACGUGGACCCGUGAUCCGGGUUGCGGACAGUGUCUGGUGGGUAGUUUGACUGGGGCGGUCUCCUCCUAAAGAGUAACGGAGGAGCACGAAGGUUGGCUAAUCCUGGUCGGACAUCAGGAGGUUAGUGCAAUGGCAUAAGCCAGCUUGACUGCGAGCGUGACGGCGCGAGCAGGUGCGAAAGCAGGUCAUAGUGAUCCGGUGGUUCUGAAUGGAAGGGCCAUCGCUCAACGGAUAAAAGGUACUCCGGGGAUAACAGGCUGAUACCGCCCAAGAGUUCAUAUCGACGGCGGUGUUUGGCACCUCGAUGUCGGCUCAUCACAUCCUGGGGCUGAAGUAGGUCCCAAGGGUAUGGCUGUUCGCCAUUUAAAGUGGUACGCGAGCUGGGUUUAGAACGUCGUGAGACAGUUCGGUCCCUAUCUGCCGUGGGCGCUGGAGAACUGAGGGGGGCUGCUCCUAGUACGAGAGGACCGGAGUGGACGCAUCACUGGUGUUCGGGUUGUCAUGCCAAUGGCACUGCCCGGUAGCUAAAUGCGGAAGAGAUAAGUGCUGAAAGCAUCUAAGCACGAAACUUGCCCCGAGAUGAGUUCUCCCUGAGACUUAAAGUCUCCUGAAGGAACGUUGAAGACGACGACGUUGAUAGGCCGGGUGUGUAAGCGCAGCGAUGCGUUGAGCUAACCGGUACUAAUGAACCGUGAGGCUUAACCUUACAACGCCGAAG
Molecule: ribosomal RNA, 1688 nt
Filed under: Salmonella enterica subsp. enterica serovar Dublin
Lineage: Bacteria; Pseudomonadati; Pseudomonadota; Gammaproteobacteria; Enterobacterales; Enterobacteriaceae
Description: bacterial LSU rRNA
Rfam family: Bacterial large subunit ribosomal RNA
Source: RNAcentral